This 491-nucleotide ribosomal RNA is filed under the name uncultured bacterium. RNAcentral describes it as "bacterial SSU rRNA". It matches the Rfam family "Bacterial small subunit ribosomal RNA", at positions 338 to 822 of the family's 1533-position model. The record is from RNAcentral.
CCUACGGGAGGCAGCAGUAGGGGAAUAUUGGACAAUGGGCGCAAGCCUGAUCCAGCCAUCCCGCGUGCAGGAUGAAGGUCCUAUGGAUUGUAAACUGCUUUUAUCAGGGAAGAAACCUUGGGAUUCAUCCCAAGUUGACGGUACCUGAGGAAUAAGCACCGGCUAACUCCGUGCCAGCAGCCGCGGUAAUACGGAGGGUGCAAGCGUUAUCCGGAUUUACUGGGUUUAAAGGGUGCGUAGGUGGGUCUUGUAAGUCAGCGGUGAAAGCUCGGAGCUCAACUCCGAAAUUGCCAUUGAUACUGCAAGGCUUGAGUACAGUUGAGGUAGGCGGAAUAUGUCAUGUAGCGGUGAAAUGCUUAGAUAUGACAUAGAACACCAAUUGCGAAGGCAGCUUGCUAAACUGAAACUGACACUGAGGCACGAAAGCGUGGGGAGUACAACAGAUAGUAUACCUACGUACGUCACGACCGUAACGUACGUGCUACUACGUA